GAAGUACCAUCUAAAUGACAGGGAACAU
RNAcentral lists this small RNA (28 nucleotides) under Bombyx mori (domestic silkworm). RNAcentral's name for it is "ovarian small RNA-15261". Lineage: Eukaryota; Metazoa; Arthropoda; Insecta; Lepidoptera; Bombycidae. The record is from RNAcentral.